GGCAGGUAACGGUGAUGGUCUCAAGUUUUAGAACUGAACUAUGUGACUUUACAAUCUCCAGGCAUUUAUGUAUAAGACUUCACUGGAAAAUUUAGUCAACUAAUAGGCCAACGUUGGAAAGGCUGCCAUGUAAUUGAAUGUACGUCCUUCAAUCAUCUGCUCAUCGUACCCAAGCCCACGUUUGCUACCUGUACUUGCAAUUACCUUGGAAAUUCUUGGACCAUGUUCUGGAAGCAAGAAGUCUGAAAUCAGUAUCACUGGGCCAAAAUCCAGGAGUCACCAGGCCGUGCUCCAUGAAGAGGCUGCAGGGAAACGUGCUCCUUGUCUCCUCCAGCUUCUGGUGGCUGCCAGUGUCCUUGUUUUGUGGCCGCAUCCCUCCAGUCUUCAAGACCAGCGUCUGAAAAUCUUUCUCUGCUCUGUGUCAAAAUCUCUUUCUGUCCCCAUUUUAUAAGGACAGACAUGAUCUUAUUUUGGGCCCAACCAUAUAAUGCAGAAAAAUCUCCC
Non-coding RNA from Microcebus murinus (gray mouse lemur), 504 nucleotides. Lineage: Eukaryota; Metazoa; Chordata; Mammalia; Primates; Cheirogaleidae. The record is from RefSeq and is a predicted model, not a curated record.